UACGUAGGGGGCAAGCGUUGUCCGGAUUCAUUGGGCGUAAAGAGCGUGUAGGCGGCCAGGUAGGUCGGUUGUGAAAACUGGAGGCUCAACCUUCAGAGGUCGACCGAAACCAUCUGGCUAGAGUCCGGGAGAGGAGAGUGGAAUUCCUGGUGUAGCGGUGAAAUGCGCAGAUAUCAGGAGGAACACCAAUGGCGAAGGCAGCUCGCUGGGACGUUACUGACGCUGAGACGCGAAAGCGUGGGGAGCAAACAGG
Molecule: ribosomal RNA, 253 nt
Filed under: uncultured bacterium
Lineage: Bacteria
Description: partial 16S ribosomal RNA
Rfam family: Bacterial small subunit ribosomal RNA
Source: RNAcentral